RNAcentral lists this ribosomal RNA (253 nucleotides) under uncultured bacterium. Its description in RNAcentral is "partial 16S ribosomal RNA". It matches the Rfam family "Bacterial small subunit ribosomal RNA", at positions 524 to 776 of the family's 1533-position model. The record is from RNAcentral.
UACGGAGGGUGCGAGCGUUAAUCGGAAUCAUUGGGCGUAAAGCGCGUGUAGGCGGCCUGCUAAGUCAGCUGUGAAAGCCCUGGGCUUAACCCAGGAAGUGCGGUUGAUACUGGCAGGCUUGAGUACGGGAGAGGGUAGCGGAAUUCCCGGUGUAGAGGUGAAAUUCGUAGAUAUCGGGAGGAACACCAGUGGCGAAGGCGGCUAUCUGGACCGAUACUGACGCUGAGACGCGAAAGCGUGGGUAGCAAACAGG